CCCCAUGUCUAGCCCACCCCCCACCCCACAAUCUUAUUGACCAAACAAAACAUUUCCACUAUUAAGUAAAGGCGAUUGAAAAACUUAUAAGCGCUAUAGACCUAGUACCGCAAGGGAACGAUGAAAUAUAAAUGAAAUAGCCUCAAGCCCCAAAUAGCAAAGCUCAACUCUUGUACCUUUUGCAUCAUGGUUACACCAGUCUAAUCAGACAAAAUAGUCUUAAGCCUGACCCCCCGAAACUGAGUGAGCUACUUCAAAAUAAUCUUCAGGAUAAACCCGUCUCUGUUGCAAAAGAGUGGGAAAAUUUUCAAGUAGCAGUGAUAAGCUUACCGGACUCAGAAAUAGCUGGUUAUUCGAGAAAAGAAUCUUAGUUCUACCUUAAGUCCCCAUAUUACGAAAAAAAUACCUUGAAACUUAAGAGCUAAUCAAAUAAGGUACAGCUUAUUUGAUAUAGGACACAGCCUCACACAAAGGGUACUCUACCUAAUUUACAUCAAGUGGGCCUAAGAGCAGCCNNAAAGGCGUCACAGCCUCAUCCACCAACAUCAAUAAUUUUUCAUAAUCCCCCUAACCCUUCACCCCUAUUGAAUGACCCCAUAAAUAUAUGGAAGCCACUAUGUCUAAACUAGUAACUAGAAUAUGAAAUUCUCCUUAAUGUAAGCAUAAGCCUAAACGGACACACCAACGGCAAUUAAAGUAAAUGAGCCACUUACAAUAACCCAUUAAAAAAAUUUGUAAUAACCAACGUUAACCUAACACAAGAACAUUAUAGGAAAGAUUUAAAGGAAAAGAAGGAACUCGGCAAAUUUUAACCCCGCCUGUUUACCAAAAACAUCGCCUCUUGAUAAAUUAUAAGAGGUCCAGCCUGCCCAAUGAUUUUUAAAUGGCCGCGGUACCCUAACCGUGCUAAGGUAGCACAAUAACUUGUCCUUUAAAUGAGGACUAGCAUGAACGGCACCACGAGGGUUAUACUGUCUCCUUUACCCAAUCAGUGAAACUGACCUUCUCGUGAAAAGGCGAGAAUCAGACUACAAGACGAGAAGACCCCAUGGAGCUUUAGACCCAAAGCAACACCUAAUUCAAUAACCCACCAAAAUUUUUAACCCUUGACUCCCAGUCUUAGGUUGGGGCGACCGCGGAGUAAAAUUAAACCUCCAUGCUAAACAGAUAAAAUCUUUAUCCAAGAGUCACAACUCUAAGAAUCAAUAAACUGAUACUUACUGACCCGAAACCGAUCAACGAACCAAGUUACCCUGGGGAUAACAGCGCUAUCCGCCUCAAGAGUCCAUAUCGACAGGCGGGUUUACGACCUCGAUGUUGGAUCAGGGUACCCCUGUGGUGCAGCCGCUACAUAAGGUUCGUUUGUUCA
RNAcentral lists this ribosomal RNA (1369 nucleotides) under Platymantis insulatus (Gigante wrinkled ground frog). RNAcentral describes it as "partial 16S ribosomal RNA". It matches the Rfam family "Bacterial large subunit ribosomal RNA", at positions 406 to 2583 of the family's 2925-position model. Lineage: Eukaryota; Metazoa; Chordata; Amphibia; Anura; Ceratobatrachidae. The record is from RNAcentral.